AUUGAACGCUGGCGGCAUGCCUUACACAUGCAAGUCGAACGGCAGCAUGAUCUAGCUUGCUAGAUUGAUGGCGAGUGGCGAACGGGUGAGUAAUACAUCGGAACGUGCCCUGUAGUGGGGGAUAACUAGUCGAAAGAUUAGCUAAUACCGCAUACGACCUGAGGGUGAAAGUGGGGGACCGCAAGGCCUCAUGCUAUAGGAGCGGCCGAUGUCUGAUUAGCUAGUUGGUGAGGUAAAGGCUCACCAAGGCGACGAUCAGUAGCUGGUCUGAGAGGACGAUCAGCCACACUGGGACUGAAACACGGCCCAGACUCCUACGGGAGGCAGCAGUGGGGAAUUUUGGACAAUGGGCGAAAGCCUGAUCCAGCAAUGCCGCGUGUGUGAAGAAGGCCUUCGGGUUGUAAAGCACUUUUGUCCGGAAAGAAAUGGCUCUGGUUAAUACCUGGGGUCGAUGACGGUACCGGAAGAAUAAGGACCGGCUAACUACGUG
Molecule: ribosomal RNA, 490 nt
Filed under: uncultured bacterium
Lineage: Bacteria
Description: partial 16S ribosomal RNA
Rfam family: Bacterial small subunit ribosomal RNA
Source: RNAcentral